RNAcentral lists this long non-coding RNA (1132 nucleotides) under Oryza sativa aus subgroup. RNAcentral's name for it is "lncRNA OsN22_01G015340". The record is from RNAcentral. Lineage: Eukaryota; Viridiplantae; Streptophyta; Magnoliopsida; Poales; Poaceae.
AUGGCUGUCCUUGCCGACUCAGCAGCCAGGAAGCUCCUCCAUGGCGCCUCUGCUCAGGGCGUCGCCGCCGGCAUGAGCCUUGGCCUCGAUGGCCUGUUGCAGCUCGUCGCCGACCUCUUCGCGAGCCUCGUCCACCUGUUCGUCCUCCCGUUCCGGGCCAUGGGGCAUGCCAUCCAGUGGUUCUUCGCCGGCGUCGUCGCUGGUCUCGGGGGCGCCGCGCGCGUGCUCGUCCUGCCGCUCGAGACGCUGUCGCGCUGGCUGCAGGCGGCCGUCGCCGGAAUCGCGAGCGCCGCGCACCUGCUCGUCCUGCCGUUCGAGGCGUGCUGGCGGUGGCUGCGCGACGCGGCCGCCGCGGCGCUCCCAUACGUGCUCGCCAUCGUCGCCGUCGUGUGCGUCGUAGCGCUUCUCUGGCUCUCCUGCACGUUCCUGUGCUCCGCCGACGCGCUAAUCGGGCCGCCGCUCGCCGGCGCCGCCAUCUCCUGCGGGGCGUUCCUGCUCCCCGCCGCCGUGAGGACCGGGCAGGCGCUCGUCUACGCCGUCUGCUACGCCACCAGGGGUGCCGGCGUGGUGCUCGCCUGGGUGCUCCCCCGCUGCGGGCGGUGCUGCGUCGUCCUCGUCACCAUGAAGGCCCCCGGCGCCGCCGGCAUGGUGAUCUCGCGGGGAGCGUUCGAAUCGCUCCCGCGGCUCUACUUCCUUCCUGAUACUGCGCUCCGCUGGCGCCGUCGUGGCCGCCGCCGUGUUCUGCGCGCGGCCCGUCGCGUGGGUGUUCGCUGCGCCGGUCGCCGCCCUCUUCCGCGCGUUGUGAUCAACAAACUUCUCUCUGUGCUUGUUGCCGUGGCAAACUCCUAUGACAUGUUAGCAAUGGUUGUUCAUGGAGUUGAAAAAUGGCUAUGAAACCAGUCAGUUUCACGUCCCAGCAAGUUCAAGAUGUCGGCUGCCACCGGGAGUGAUGCAAAAAGUCAGGUGGCGGGAGAGGGCAACAUUACCACCAGUAACAAAGUCGGUGAACAGGUAAAUGAACCAACCGUGAACAUGGACUCCAUAUAUGACGUAGAACCUUCUACAUAUCCAAACACAAAGAGGGAGCACCAUCAAUACAUGAAAGAACAAAGACUUGUUUGAAUCCUUUUUC